Molecule: ribosomal RNA, 1069 nt
Filed under: Heterosigma akashiwo
Lineage: Eukaryota; Raphidophyceae; Chattonellales; Chattonellaceae
Description: partial Bacterial small subunit ribosomal RNA
Rfam family: Bacterial small subunit ribosomal RNA
Source: RNAcentral
AAUUGAGAGUUUGAUCCUGGCUCAGGAUGAACGCUGGCGGUAUGCUUAACACAUGCAAGUCGAACGAGAGGUUUUUAAAGAUUUUUCUUAAAAAACUGAAAGUGGCGGACGGGUGAGUAACACGUGAGAAUCUGCCUUUAGGAAAGGGACAACAUUUGGAAACGAAUGCUAAUACCUUAUAUGCCUAUUAUAACUUGUAUAAUUAAUAGGUGAAAAGUUUUCUGCCUAGAGAGGAGCUCGCGGCUGAUUAGCUAGUUGGUGGGGUAAUGGCCUACCAAGGCGACGAUCAGUAACUGAUUUGAGAGGAUGAUCAGUCACACUGGAACUGAGACACGGUCCAGACUGCUACGGGAGGCAGCAGUGGGGAAUUUUCUGCAAUGGGCGAAAGCCUGACAGAGCAAUACCGCGUGAGGGAUGACAGUCCUAUGGAUUGUAAACCUCUUUUUUCAGGGAGGAAGUUCUGACGUUACCUGAAGAAUAAGCAUCGGCUAACUCCGUGCCAGCAGCCGCGGUAAUACGGAGGAUGCAAGUGUUAUCCGGAAUCACUGGGCGUAAAGCGUCUGUAGGUGGUUUAAUGUGUCUGUUGUUAAAUCUUAAGGCUCAACCUUAAACCAGCAAUGGAAACUAUUAUGACUUGAGUGUGGUAGAGGUAGAGGGAAUUUCCAGUGGAGCGGUGAAAUGCGUAGAUAUUGGAAAGACCACCAAUGGCGAAGGCACUCUACUGGGCCAUUACUGACACUGAGAGACGAAAGCUAGGGGAGCAAAUGGGAUUAGAUACCCCAGUAGUCCUAGCUGUAAACGAUGGAUACUAGAUGUCGCAUGUAUCGACCCAUGCGGUAUUAUAGCUAACGCGUUAAGUAUCCCGCCUGGGAAGUAUGCUCGCAAGAGUGAAACUCAAAGGAAUUGACGGGGGCCCGCACAAGCGGUGGAGCAUGUGGUUUAAUUCGACGCAACGCGCAGAACCUUACCAGCGUUUGACAUCCUUAUCGCGGAUUUGAGAGAUCAUUUCCUUCAGCUCGGCUGGAUAAGUGACAGGUGCUGCAUGGCUGUCGUCAGCUCGUGCCGUGAG